This 73-nucleotide transfer RNA is filed under the name Candidatus Latescibacterota bacterium. RNAcentral's name for it is "tRNA-Lys". It matches the Rfam family "tRNA". From Rfam's summary of the family: Transfer RNA (tRNA) molecules are approximately 80 nucleotides in length. Their secondary structure includes four short double-helical elements and three loops (D, anti-codon, and T loops). Further hydrogen bonds mediate the characteristic L-shaped molecular structure. tRNAs have two regions of fundamental functional importance: the anti-codon, which is responsible for specific mRNA codon recognition, and the 3' end, to which the tRNAs corresponding amino acid is attached (by aminoacyl-tRNA synthetases). tRNAs cope with the degeneracy of the genetic code in two manners: having more than one tRNA (with a specific anti-codon) for a particular amino acid; and 'wobble' base-pairing, i.e. permitting non-standard base-pairing at the 3rd anti-codon position. The record is from RNAcentral. RNAcentral also lists the same sequence under 1 other name. Lineage: Bacteria; Pseudomonadati; Candidatus Latescibacterota.
GGGCCGCUAGCUCAUCUGGUAGAGCACCUGCCUUUUAAGCAGGUGGUGCUGGGUUCAAGUCCCGGGCGGCUCA